Notothenia coriiceps (black rockcod) is the source of this 1573-nucleotide long non-coding RNA. RefSeq lists it as uncharacterized. The transcript has 2 exons. NCBI's taxonomy places the organism in Eukaryota, Metazoa, Chordata, Actinopteri, Perciformes, Nototheniidae. The record is from RefSeq and is a predicted model, not a curated record.
ACUAACUGUCCUUUUAGCAACCAAGCUAACUCUCUUUAGAAGUGUACAUUAUCCUGGUUAGUUAGCGUGUUACAACCAAACGUACUCUCUAGAAUGUGUACAUGUUCCUGGUUAGCUAGCGUGUUACAACCAAGCUAACCCACUUGAACACUACGUACGUUCCCGUUAGCUUGCAUGUUAGCAGCCAAGCUAACUCUCUUGAGAACUGUGUACAUUCCUGGUUAGCUAGCGUUUUAGCAACCAAGAUAACUAUUUUUGGCAGUUAGCGAAGCUCCAUGCUACAGAUGUGUUUUAGGAUCAGGCAGACAAACUGAAGCCUGUUUCCUGGCGACGGCUUGAGGCAUCAAAUGUCUGGUCAUAGUUCUGGAUGAACUUUUUCAGGAAUAAAAUUAACUCUCCUGGUUUAGGUGUUGGAGACAAAAUAGUCCGACUAGUGUGCUCUAAUCCUUCUUCUUUUUAUUUAAAAAUAGCUCAUGUUGAAGUUCAUGUGUUUGAUCCGCCUGGUUUCCGAAAAAAAGACUUUAGAAACAUGAUAUUGUCCAUAACUUGAUAAUAAAAGUGAGACCCAACCUUUUCGGUAUAGCCUGAACCCUUAUUUGAUUUAAUGUGGAUUGGAACCUUUUUUUACAUCCUCAAACUCCACUUUGAUUGAUCUAAAGGCUUUCUUGUUGUUCAUUCUCUUUUUAACUCUAAAAUGUUAUAGCUAAAAUCAAGUUAAUGAAGACUUCCGAAGAUUUGAAUUCCUGAACAACGUCCUUGAGUUUUUCUCAACUGUAACGUGUGGUAGUCCUGAUCCAUCCUUAAUUGCCAAUUCAGGAGACUUAAUCCGGCCUCGCUUUGUAGCUGUCAAAUAAGAAGCCUGGAGAUGUUUAAAGCUUGAGUUCAUCAAACAUUACUGUAACAAAAUACUCUCAGUAUUGUAGAUAACUCUGUCAUUUAACCAAAAAGUGUUUGGGCUAAAACCCAACAUUUUUGAAAAUGCAAAUCCACAUGCUGUAGCAGUGUCAAUCAUGGAAAGGCAUUCUAAACAAUAAUAAGUAUUUUAGUAUCUUGUGGAUAGUUUUUGAUUUCUUUCUUUUUGGGAAACCAGCUGCAUUAAAUGUCUUUUUAAGGGGAGUUAAGGCCAGCCCUGCAUCAUAACUGAGGUUGUGCUUCUUCUACUACCGCUACUAUCAAACAACCAGCCUUGGGCACACAAACAGACCUGAACACUGUUUCAAAUCCUCCCUUCAGAACUCAAGGUGCAUUUGAUUUCUAUCUUCAUAUACCAGCAUUUUCAAAAGUCAGAACCUAAGGUAGAGCACCAGCUUGAUUCGUUUAUGUCACAAAAAAACUUCUGUAAAUCAACUUGUGGCCCAAAAUUAGACUUCUUUUCCUCAGUUUGGGCGACAAGUCUUGAGCUUCUUUGUUGUUUUGUAACUUGUAAUAACAAAUAUAGCCAUCAUUAUUUCUUUUUAUGUGAAUUUGAAAAGUAUUCAAGCUCUGUUUCUGUUGCCGAGGUCAGCAAAACAACCUGUUGAUGUCUGCUGUAUUUCAAUAAAACACAGCCUUGUUCAAAGGUUACACCUCUUUA